This 203-nucleotide non-coding RNA is filed under the name Alkalibacterium sp. RNAcentral describes it as "T-box sequence". It matches the Rfam family "T-box leader". From Rfam's summary of the family: Uncharged tRNA acts as the effector for transcription antitermination of genes in the T-box leader family. T-boxes are found upstream of many aminoacyl-tRNA synthetase genes and some amino acid biosynthetic genes usually in Gram-positive bacteria. The record is from RNAcentral. Lineage: Bacteria; Bacillati; Bacillota; Bacilli; Lactobacillales; Carnobacteriaceae.
GUUAAAGCUAUGAAUAGGCGAAGUAGAUUGUUUGAAUUAUUUUAGAGAGCGAGUGGUUGGUGAAAAUUCGCAGGUUCAAACAAACCGAAGUACACCUUGGAGCUAUUCUCUCACGAGACGCAACCCGGCGUUAUGGGAACGAGUGAAGUAAGUUCUCAACUUAUUUUAAUCAGGGUGGUACCACGGCACUGUUCGUCCCGACG